Molecule: small RNA, 250 nt
Filed under: Oryza sativa Japonica Group (Japanese rice)
Lineage: Eukaryota; Viridiplantae; Streptophyta; Magnoliopsida; Poales; Poaceae
Description: sRNA Os04g0578250
Rfam family: Small nucleolar RNA Z199 (bases 190-250)
Source: RNAcentral
GCAGCCGCCUCUUCUGGUGAUCUUUUUCUCGCUUCUCCUGACUCCCUGCGUUCUCAAUUCUUUCGAUUUGCUGCCCUUGCUUUGAUGUUCUUGUUCGCAUAGCCUUCUCUCUCGUGGUAUUUCUGAAGUUCUUCGGAUGAAUCCGCGGUUAGUUAGUUUGUUUGUGUUUUCUGAAGCAACAGUUUUGCUGGUCAAAUGAUGAGAGAUAUAACUGCAACAAUAUGAUCCAUGAUGUGAUUCUUAGUAUUUA